GGAUGAUGUUUAUUGAUGGAUAGUUAAUAUUAUGACAACGAUCAGGAAGAGAAUUUAAUACAAUGAUCACCGAGCAAGCACUCGUAAAUAGAAAAUUCGAAAAACAGUAGUUGAAAUUAUCAUUGCGAAUCAACACACCAAUUAACUGCUUGGGAUAGUCAGUCUAAAUGUAUUCAAAUGGGUCUGAGGACUCGACAGGUUCAGGAUACGCACGUAUUUCAGCCAUCAGCAGUUCAAUUAAUUCAACACAGUACUCGAGAGGUUCAGGAUACGCACGUUUUUCAGCUAUCAGCAGUUCCACUAAUUCAACAGAG
Molecule: long non-coding RNA, 314 nt
Organism: Magallana angulata
Lineage: Eukaryota; Metazoa; Mollusca; Bivalvia; Ostreida; Ostreidae
Exons: 3
Source: RefSeq, a predicted model, not a curated record